This is a long non-coding RNA of Limulus polyphemus (Atlantic horseshoe crab), 4379 nucleotides long. RefSeq lists it as uncharacterized. The transcript has 3 exons. Lineage: Eukaryota; Metazoa; Arthropoda; Merostomata; Xiphosura; Limulidae. The record is from RefSeq and is a predicted model, not a curated record.
AAGAACAAAAACAGGCAAUAAUGAAAUGUCUGAAUAUUCAGAAGCUACUGAAAUAGUAGAACUGAAUGAGUAGGCCCCAUCUAAUUAGGAUGUAGCUUGAUUAUUUAGAUGAUUACAAAAUUAUCUAGAUAUAACCAAUUGGCGAGGUUAGUUGAUUUCUAAAAAUGAUAUCAUUAGUCAAAAUUAUAGGCAAAAUUAUUAGGCAUAGAAAAUUCGAGAAAAGACAAAAAUAGACAAUAACCAAAAAUAAGAAGAGUUCGAGAAAGGACAGAAAUAACAGACAGUGACCAGAAGUAAGAGACAAACGAAACUUAUGACCAGUAGUCGAAAAUAGACAGUUAGACAGUACAACGAAUCCAGGAAUAAAACUGAACGCAAGGACUGGAACUUCUAUCAACAAAUGUCAAGUAUUAAGAGUGUGUUAGUGAAUUGAAGUAUUUUGAAUAGAAUGAUUGAAGUGAAUUGAAUAACAAGUGUGCAAGUAGCCAGAUGUAUUAGAAGGAUAAGUGUGUGAGUGAAGUGACUGUAUAAGCCUUCACAGGGACAAUUAAUAACAUUGUGCUUAUUGUAAUCAUAGGAAACAAGGACAAAGAGCAGCAAUAGUAGAAGUGGAAGGUUUCAGAAUUAAUGGCAGAUACACCAUCAAAGAGUUGGCGGUUAAAGACUGUCAAUUGGGGGUGGACCGACGUCUAUUGCUUCAGGCCUCCAGAUUCCGAGGAUCGCUUGAGUGACACCGAUAAGAGACGCAUCUUGUGCACUGUGUACCUGCAUGGCCUCCGUUGGACUGAUGGAGAUUAUUCCAUGCUAGAAUUCCUCCAGAUUCGCCAAGGGGGAGGCAGGACUUUGUGAAGCUGUACACCAAGGGCAGAGAGAAGGCACAGAUGUUACAAAGACAGCUAGGCCUCCCCUGCCAGGAUGUGAAAGAGCAUGGAUGCCCACCGUACAGACAUCUAGAUUGCAGCAAGCAGAUAACCUGCAAUUACCAUCGACACCCCAUGAACAUUGUGCCUAUUGGAAAGUAUGUGCAUUAUAUCAAUGGAUACCUAACCGCAACGAGAACGUGUUCCAAAAUUUUAGGAACGAUUUUUAAGUUGACUGUUAGAUACCAUAUUGCUUUAUUUUAUGUUUAAAGGUUUUAUAUGCUUUACCCAUAUAUGCUUUUAUAAAUAUAAUCAUUUAUAUAAUCUUUUGUGUAAUCAUAUAUAUGAAUCUAUUAUGAUAUAUUUUAUAUAAUCUUUUGUGUAAUCAAAUAUACGAAUCUAUUAGGAUAUGUUUUAUAUAAUCAUUUAUCGAUAAUCACAUAUAUACAUUUUGAUGAUGUAAGCAUUGGCUGAUAAAGAGAGAUGGAGACAGUGAGUUGGAUGAUGAAUUUUGUUACAAGUAACAAAAUUUUUCUAAGAAGGGAGGGAUGAAACAACUUGAAAUUUUCUAGGAAAUUUCAUCAAUUGCUUCAAGAGUUUUUAAGUGUUUAAAAAUACUUAGGAGAAAACUUAAAGGUUUUUAACGAAGUAAUUCGAAGAUCUCACCAAUUACUUCAAGAGCUUUGAGUAUUUAAAAGUACUCAGAGUAAGUGUUUAAGGGUUUUAACGAAGUUAUUUAAAGAUUUCAUCAAUUGUUUCAAUAGCUGUAGAUAUUUAAAAAUACUUAGAAUAAAAGCUUAAGAGUUUCAAUACAAGCAAGCAAGUAAAGAUAGAUAUAAAAAGAAAAGGGAGGCGACAAUGGGAUGCCUGUGUUAUGAAAUAAGCCUUGAGAAAUUAAUAAACAAGAACUUGGUUAUACAAGAGGUAACAUUAAGAAGUAAGCAGCAAAACAUGUGCAGUACUUAAAAAUAAGCUUGAGAGGCGAGCCUGGGAAUCAGUGACCCAGGGUCAAUAGCAGAGUUAGUAAGAACUAUUGCAUCACAAACAGGAUGUGAAUGCCAAUACAUGUGACAGUUUGAUGAAGUGUUGGCCUCGCUCUCUUAGCACUAUGGAAGUUACAGAAAAGUUUACAUUUAGUGAAUCAUCUUGGCACUUUGAAGCAGUAUUAGUUACAGUACAUGGGUGUAGCAGCACAAAUGAAUAGGCAGCCGGCUAACACCACUUAUCUAUGACCAAUAACUUGAGAGUUUUGGUUUAGGUUCUGGAUUAGACCAGGAAUUGCCCUAAAAUAUCCAACAGGAGCACAGAACUAUUUUGUGGGUGAUGCUGUGUCCUAUUUGGUGGGAUCGCACGAACACUAGGAAAGUAGAGUUUAAAAACCCAUGUCAGAGACUGAAAAGUCAGUUCCUCGGACAGCAAAAGCUCUCCACCAGUUCUCUCCAAGAAGAAAAUGAAGCUGAAGUUUUCUAAUGUGGUUACAGCCUCCAAAACUCCAACUCUACUGUAAGUAUCGUCUCUCGCUCUCUUGAUCAGCUAGUGUAAGAAGUAUUAAGUCUAAAUAGUAAAGUUUUAUCAGUAAUGUUUUGAUAACUUGCAUGUUAACUCGUCACGACAAAUCCUCUAAUAAAUAAAUUUGGUGUAAAGAUUAGUUUUAAUUGAAACUCCAACAAUUAAGCUCACCUGAGCACUAAUCUUUACACUUUGUCUAAUGUUACAAUGUCCAAUUUAUAAAUUGGAAGUUCAUCUAAAUGUUCAAAUACAUGUAAUAUCAUCAGAAAUUUUCAACCAUUUAAUAUAUAAAGGUCCUUCACGCCCAGACAAAAUCUACCUAUGGUACCAUGAUCAUCAUUUCGGCAUUAUCACUUCAGUGAAAGGUUUUUCCUCGGGAUUAGGAAACUGGAAUUCACGAGAUAAGCUACUGAUGGUCCAUGAUUUUAAUGGGAAGGAAACAGUUUUAAAAGGUUAUAAUUCAUGUGACGAAUUUUGUCAAUUCAUAUUUUUGAAAGAAUUAUGCAGCUAUAGGACAUAAUAUGAAAUGUUUUGACAGGAACUUUAUCUUGAAUUAUUUUAUUCUUCAAGGCAUAAAAGCCGACAUUAUCUUAAAUGGUAGAAAAAUUGUGGUUAUGACCGUCAGAAGUCUCAGAAUUAGAAUAAUUGACAGUUACAAUUUUAUACCUGCCUUUAUCAUUGUUUCCAAACACAUUUGGAUUAGAAGAACUACAGAAAGGAUAUUCCCCUCUUCUUUUCAAUAUAAAAUGAAAUCAGGAAUAUCGAGGACCUAUACAGGAUUCCAGCUUUUACUUUCCUGAGAUCAAGUCAGCAACUGUAAGACAAAAGUUUCUGAAUUGGCACUGUCAGUGACGAGAGGAAGAGUAAGACUUUGACUUUCAAGAAGAGAUGUACAGAUACUGCCGAUCAGAUGUGAAUAUACUUCGACAGUGCUGUCUUCAAUUCAUGGAAGAGUUUCUCAUAACCUGCGAUAUAGAUCCCUUCAGGUACAUGACCAUUGCUUCUGUAUGCAUGGCUGUAUUAUUACGACUGUUAGAGACAUAUUUGAUGGUAAAAAAUUAGAAAAAGGAAGUAAUGUCUAAUAACACCGCGCAAUCUUUAUAUUAAAACCCUACACAUCAUGCUAGGUUUGGCAGAGUACAACCUUUAUUUAGAUGUAUAAAAGUGCUAGGUAAAUCUGUAACUAUAAAUCAGGUUAAAGACUGUGUCAGAACUUUUAAAUGCGUGUAUAUAUGGGUAUGAGCUAAGGAUUCUUCUACAGUAGGUGUCUGUGAAUUGUUGGCGAUAAAUUCGAACAAUAAAGUGACAGCAAGUACUCAACUUGUUAUAACAUAAUAUAUUAAAACAAGUUAAACAUAUGUACAAAAUGCUCUUUACACUAUGAAGAUCACAGCUGUAUCUUAACCACUAUACAGUUCUCUUCUUGUUGUCAAAAGUCCAGUUAGGCUAAUUCAACUGCUUUAAAAUCCGGUUGACAAGCCAAACUAUUUUUCUCUACUUGUAUCACAAUAGUAUCAGUAAAUAAUUCGCUUAUGCUGCCUCAUGAGUUACCACAGUUGUAUCCUGAUCUUCCAAUGAUUGUCUUCUUUUUGUCAAAGUCCACACAAGCGGGUUCAAUUAGUUUAGAACAUCCUUUGACAAGACAAAUUAUUCUCCUUAUCUCUAUCAAAUUGUUAAUUUCACUUUAAAAUAUCAACCACUGAGGCUAUUCACUCGAACAAUGGCCAACUUCGUGUUUUCUAGCUUUUCUCUAACUGAACUUCUCUUUCACUCGACUUCCACUUGUUUGGUUGUCGCUAUUUAUAUGUUUAUGACUGAGACAACCAGAAAUUUCUAUAGCCUCGACACUAAUGAAUUGCAAACACAAUGUAUAACUCCAACCAAACUUGUCAUAACUAUCAUCUUUAUAUUAAUUGCUUUUAACUCUCUCAUUAUGAAAAAAAAAUUAACAAUUGAAUAAUAUUACCUAUAAUAAACAUUCUUGUAUAUCCAACAGACAGCUUAACCCGA